Molecule: non-coding RNA, 1993 nt
Organism: Chlorocebus sabaeus (green monkey)
Lineage: Eukaryota; Metazoa; Chordata; Mammalia; Primates; Cercopithecidae
Source: the annotation of a RefSeq genome assembly
ACAACAGACAGAUGACAGACGGCUGUCUCUGAUCCCAACCUCAAGUAGGAUGUUCCUGAUGCACUGGAUCCCAGAUCCUGUAUAGCUUUAGAACCUGUGUAGUUUGUGUUUCCUUGGCUUCUCCUUUGGAUCUUUUAGGUGCUAAGGAAAUGAGAAUGGUUCACCACAAAACAGGGCAGACAAAGGGGAUAAUUAAGGGCCUCUUCCAAGCAACGUUGGUAUCAUAAAAUAAAAGUUAAAGAAUGAAAGAACUACACAAGAAGGUGCUGGGGUUGACACAAAGGACUUGAAACAGCACUACCAGGAGUUGGGUGCAGCAAUGGGGAUCCCUUCAGGUCCAUCAGCAAUUCAGAGACCUAAACGAAUAUUCCCUAUUCAUGUUGAAUUGGCAGAGUGUGAAAUCUAGAAGACAAAAUGGCCAGGAAAAUUGUGUGAUUUUUGCGUGGGUGAAGGUCUGGCAAGUUAAUCAAUUUGAGGACUGUUGAAGGCCUGAGGUGGUCCUGCCCUUGCUUGGUGCCAAGACCGUAGUCCAACUCAUGUGAAAUUGCCAGGGAAGAGAGAGUAGUUUUUUUGGUAGUUCUUGUUAUCAGGCAUAUGUGCAUUUGAAUUUUCUCUUCAUGGCCUUUCUUGGCUCUAUUUCUCAUUUUUUUUAACAUACAUACUUUCAUUUAGAUUAAUUACCUUCACAGGGUCACAGAGAAGGGUGGAAGGAAGGGAGGCCCUGGGAUGAGUCUCAAAAAAACAUGGAAAAUUGUGGAGAGGGACAAUAGCAGGGUGUAAGGAAUUAUUGAGAUCUUAUUCUGCCCCUCCCAGGAGGCACAGGCCAGUCUUUUUCUGCAUUUGAGGUUCUAGGUUAUAAGCCCUGUAGACUCUUCCCUUCAGGGCAGGGUGACAACUAUGCAAAUUCAAGUGGGGGCCUCCCCACUUAAACCAAGGGCUCCCCUUCACAGUGAGUCUCCCUCACCACCCAGCUGGGGAUCUCAGUGCUUCAUUUUCUGUCCUUCAUUUCUGUCCUCCACCAUGAUGGGGUCAACUGCCAUCCUCGCCCUCCUCCUGGCUGUUCUCCAAGGAGUCUCUGCCGAGGUGCAGCUGGUGCAGUCUGGAGCAGAGGUGAAAAGGCCCGGGGAAUCUCUGAGGAUCUCCUGUAAGACUUCUGGAUACAGCUUUACCAGCAGCUGGAUCAGCUGGGUGCGCCAGAUGCCUGGGAAAGGCCUGGAGUGGAUGGGGAGAAUCUAUCCUGGUGACUCUGAUACAGAAUACAGCCCAUCCUUCCAAGGCCAGGUCACCAUCUCAGCCGACAAGUCCAUCAGCACCACCUACCUGCAGUGGAGCAGCCUGAAGGCCUCGGACUCCGCCACGUAUUACUGUGCGAAAGACACAGUGAGAGAAACCAGCACUGAGAGCACCAAAAACCCUCCACAGCGCAGGUGCAGAGUGAGCUGCCAGAAACUCCCUCCCCAGGGACUUCUCUAUUCAUCCGGGGAGGAAACACUUUUUGUCCUCAGGAGCGAGAACCAGAGAACAAUGCGGGAGGGUUCCCAGCCCCUAAGGCAACUGGAUGGGGGACCUGACCAUGGGAGGCGGAUUCUCUGAGCGGGCUCUUGUGUGUUCUACAAGGUUGUUCAUGGUGAAUACUACAUGGUUAACAUCAAAAGCCUGCCUAACAGGCACCUCUUCAAUAUGACAGUAUUUUAAUUAGUGAAAAUUUUACACAGUUAAUCAUUGCUUGCUUGCCUUCCUCCCUCCUAUCCACUCUCACUCCCUCCUUUUAUUUUCUACUUACUUUUACAAAGUCAUUUAAUCACUUUUUGAAAUAUUAAUAGGUUCUCUUGUUUCUGUUAUUGUUUUCAUUAAUAAUAUGCCCUGAAUAAUUCAUCUUUGUGCCAAUUCAUAAGUAUUCGGUAUAACAAAGACUUCCUCCAUAAAUAGAUUUCCUGUGAGUAAUCUUGCAAAUAUUUUAGAACCUGUUUGGUUAAGGAUAAAUUAAAAUAAA